Clarias gariepinus (North African catfish) is the source of this 540-nucleotide long non-coding RNA. RefSeq lists it as uncharacterized. The transcript is spliced from 3 exons. The record is from RefSeq and is a predicted model, not a curated record. Lineage: Eukaryota; Metazoa; Chordata; Actinopteri; Siluriformes; Clariidae.
GCAGGAAGUAGAGCCAAGAAGAUGGGGACUGUGGAAGACAAGAAGGCGGUGGCUCCUUUACCUAAACACUCUUACUGGUUCGACUUUUGGGUUUUUCUGAUGUUCGACAUCGUCUUUUUCCUCUUCAUCUAUUUUGUUGUCCCAUAAACGUCUGCUGGAAUCCGGGUGUUAUGGAAGGACCAGACCCCGUGGCUCGGUUGCAGAACAGAUGACGGCUUCCUGACAGCUGGGUCCUGGUUCCAUGGCUUCAGCUGAUCUCCUCCCGCUACCCUCUUACCAGAACACUGAACGUUGACCAUCAACACGUCCCUGCAGAGUCCAGCGUAGCUUUAAAAACAGCCAGCUAACAUUCCAUUACAAGCCAUGAAGCCUAAUACAGAACACUGAUUAAUAUGAAAAACUCAUUUAAGUUAUUUUUUUUAAAUAUCUUUCACUUGUUAAUAAUUAAAAUGUGUGUGUGGGCAGAGAGUGAUAAUUUGAGAGAAUGAUGACGAUGGAAUUAAUUGAAAAGUAAAUAAAAUUCACUAAGCUAUUUUUCAA